RNAcentral lists this transfer RNA (64 nucleotides) under Atkinsoniella flavipenna. Its description in RNAcentral is "tRNA-Asp". Lineage: Eukaryota; Metazoa; Arthropoda; Insecta; Hemiptera; Cicadellidae. RNAcentral also lists the same sequence under 1 other name. The record is from RNAcentral.
AAGAGUUUAGUUUAUUAAAAACAUUAAUUUGUCAAAUUAAAAAAAUUAAUUUUAAUAAUUCUUU